This 2186-nucleotide ribosomal RNA is filed under the name activated sludge metagenome. RNAcentral's name for it is "bacterial LSU rRNA". It matches the Rfam family "Bacterial large subunit ribosomal RNA", at positions 3 to 2003 of the family's 2925-position model. The record is from RNAcentral.
UCAAGUUUUUAAGGGCGCACGGUGGAUGCCUUGGCACCAGGAACCGAAGAAGGACGUAGGAAUCUGCGAUAAGCCUCGGGGAGUCGAUAACCAGACUGUGAUCCGAGGAUUUCCGAAUGGGGAAACCCGGCUGGAGGCAAGUCCAGUCACCCCUGCCUGAAUAUAUAGGGCAGGUGGAGGGAACGUGGGGAAGUGAAACAUCUCAGUACCCACAGGAAGAGAAAGCAACCGCGAUUCCGUGAGUAGUGGCGAGCGAAAGCGGAAGAGGCUAAACCGUACAUGUGUGAUAGCUGUCAGGCGUUGCAUGUACGGGGUCGUGGGACCUCUUGGUCGGCUCUGACAGGCCGACAUGGAGUCAAAAAUUCGCGUUAUAGUCGAAGGGCAUUGAAAGGCCCGGCACAGAGGGUGCGACCCCCGUAGACGAAAUGACGCGAACUCCAUAGAGAUAUCCCAAGUAGCACGGGGCCCGAGAAAUCCCGUGUGAAUCUGGCGGGACCACCCGCUAAGCCUAAAUAUUCCCUGGUGACCGAUAGCGGACAAGUACCGUGAGGGAAAGGUGAAAAGUACCCCGGGAGGGGAGUGAAAUAGAUCCUGAAACCGUGUGCCUACAAUCCGUCGGAGCCUCCUUGUGGGGUGACGGCGUGCCUUUUGAAGAAUGAGCCUGCGAGUUAGUGCUCGGUGGCGAGGUUAACCCGUGUGGGGAAGCCGUAGCGAAAGCGAGUCCGAAUAGGGCGAAUGAGUCGCCGGGUCUAGACCCGAAGCGGAGUGAUCUACCCAUGGCCAGGUUGAAGCGCAGGUAAGACUGCGUGGAGGACCGAACCCACUUAGGUUGAAAACUGAGGGGAUGAGCUGUGGGUAGGGGUGAAAGGCCAAUCAAACUCCGUGAUAGCUGGUUCUCCCCGAAAUGCAUUUAGGUGCAGCGUCACGUGUUUCUUACCGGAGGUAGAGCUACUGGAUAGCCGAUGGGCCCCACCAGGUUACUGACGUUAGCCAAACUCCGAAUGCCGGUAAGUGAGAGCGUGGCAGUGAGACUGCGGGGGAUAAGCUCCGUAGUCGAGAGGGAAACAGCCCAGAUCACCAGCUAAGGUCCCUAAGCGUGUGCUAAGUGGGAAAGGAUGUGGAGUUGCAUUGACAACCAGGAGGUUGGCUUAGAAGCAGCCACCCUUUAAAGAGUGCGUAAUAGCUCACUGGUCAAGUGAUUCCGCGCCGACAAUGUAGCGGGGCUCAAGCACACCACCGAAGCUGUGGCAUUGACACAUUGCCCGGCCGUGAUGUCUGAGGACUCACGGUCCAAGCGUGUUGAUGGGUAGGGGAGCGUCGUGUGGCCAGGGAAGCGGCGGAGUGAUCCAGCCGUGGAGGCCACACGAGUGAGAAUGCAGGCAUGAGUAGCGAAAGACGGGUGAGAAACCCGUCCGCCGAAUAACCAAGGGUUCCAGGGUCAAGCUAAUCUGCCCUGGGUAAGUCGGGACCUAAGGCGAGGCCGACAGGCGUAGUCGAUGGACAUCCGGUUGAUAUUCCGGAACCGGCGAAGAACCGCCCAUACCGAACCACGUAAUGCUAAGCGCCUGAAGUGUGGCACCGUCUUCGGAUGGUUCCUCAUGGAGCGCGCGACCCUAGCGAGUAGUAGGUAAGCAAUGGAGAGACGCAGGAAGGUAGCCGAACCGCGGCGAUGGUUGUUCCGCGGGUAAGGGUGUAGGGCGAGGUGUAGGCAAAUCCGCACCUCAUGUGCCUGAGACCUGACACGGACCCGUAAGGGGAAGUCGGUGAUCCUAUGCUGCCAAGAAAAUCUUCUAGCGAGGUUCUAGCCGCCCGUACCCCAAACCGACUCAGGUGGUUAGGUAGAGAAUACCAAGGCGAUCGAGUGAAUCGUGGUUAAGGAAUUCGGCAAAAUACCCCCGUAACUUCGGGAGAAGGGGGGCCCAGAGGGUGACGGGACUUGCUCCCCGAGCCUGAACGGCCGCAGAGACCAGGGAGAAGCGACUGUUUACUAAAAACACAGGUCCGUGCCAAGUCGCAAGACGAUGUAUACGGACUGACGCCUGCCCGGUGCUGGAACGUUAAGGGGACCGGUUAGCCUCACGGCGAAGCUGAGAACUUAAGCGCCAGUAAACGGCGGUGGUAACUAUAACCAUCCUAAGGUAGCGAAAUUCCUUGUCGGGUAAGUUCCGACCUGCACGAAUGGCGUA